RNAcentral lists this ribosomal RNA (257 nucleotides) under uncultured bacterium. RNAcentral describes it as "partial 16S ribosomal RNA". It matches the Rfam family "Bacterial small subunit ribosomal RNA", at positions 793 to 1055 of the family's 1533-position model. The record is from RNAcentral.
GUCCACACCGUAAACGAUGAUCACAAGAUUUUGGUCGCAAGAUCAGAGUCCAAGCGAAAGUGUUUAGUGAUCCACCUGGGGAGUACGACCGCAAGGUUGAAACUCAAAGGAAUUGACGGGGGCCCCGCACAAGCGGUGGAGCAUGUGGUUUAAUUCGAUGAUACGCGAGGAACCUUACCUGGGCUUGAAAGUUAGUGACCGUUCCUGAAAGGGAGCUUUCCGCAAGGACACGAAACUAGGUGCUGCAUGGCUGUCGU